This 395-nucleotide transfer-messenger RNA is filed under the name bovine gut metagenome. It matches the Rfam family "transfer-messenger RNA". Rfam says of the family: Bacterial tmRNA, also known as 10Sa RNA or SsrA, is named for its dual tRNA and mRNA-like properties. The record is from RNAcentral.
GACUGGUUUUGACAGCGGGCAGGAAGAAUGUGUAAGCAUGCAGUGGGUCGUAAGUUCUCACUUAAAUCAUAGCUUUCAACAAUUUAGUUGGCGAAAAUAGACUCGCUCUCGCUGCCUGAUUGAAGCAUAGUAGAUCACUGGCUUAAUCCGCACACAAGGUGAGCGGACGAGACAUCUCGCAGGUGGAGAUUCCUGAUUCCGGCCUGAGCACGAGGUGCUAAGCAAUUUCGGGAUAGCCUUGUCGGUGCUCCGACGGCAGAGCGAAACACAGGAGAUAAGGUCGCGUUUAGGGCGUUCGCUCCCUUGCGCGGCUCGAAAACCAACAGCGGAAUAAGCAUGUAGAAACCAUGGGGGUUCCUUGUUUGGACGAGGGUUCGACUCCCUCCAUCUCCACC